UGGAGAGUUUGAUCCUGGCUCAGAACGAACGCUGGCGGCGUGCCUAACACAUGCAAGUCGAACGGUAACAGGACUUUGGUCGCUGACGAGUGGCGCACGGGUGAGUAACGCGUGGGUUACCUGCCCAUAAGUGGGGAACAACUUGGAGAAAUCCAAGCUAAUACCGCAUAAUACCUUCGGGUUAAAGAGGGGGAUCUUCGGACCUCUCGCUUAUGGAUGGUCCCGCGUCUGAUUAGCUAGUUGGUAGGGUAAUGGCCUACCAAGGCAAUGAUCAGUAGCUGGUCUGAGAGGAUGAUCAGUCACACUGGAACUGAGACACGGUCCAGACUCCUACGGGAGGCAGCAGUGGGGAAUUUUGCACAAUGGGCGAAAGCCUGAUGCAGCGACGCCGCGUGCGGGAAGAAGGCCUUCGGGUUGUAAACCGCUUUCAACAGGGAAGAAGGAAUGAGAGCUAAUACCUCUCUGCCUUGACGGUACCUGUAGAAGAAGCACCGGCUAAUUUCGUGCCAGCAGCCGCGGUAAUACGAAAGGUGCAAGCGUUGUUCGGAUUUACUGGGCGUAAAGAGAUCGUAGGUGGCUUGUUAAGUCGGAUGUGAAAUCCCGGGGCUCAACCCCGGAACUGCAUCCGAUACUGGCAGGCUUGAGUUUGGGAGGGGUAAGCGGAAUUCCGUGUGUAGCAGUGAAAUGCGUAGAUAUACGGAGGAACACCUGAGGCGAAGGCGGCUUACUGGACCAAUACUGACACUGAGGAUCGAAAGCGUGGGUAGCAAACAGGAUUAGAUACCCUGGUAGUCCACGCCCUAAACGAUGUCAACUAGCCGUUGCGGGUAUCGACCCCUGCAGUGGCGCAGCUAACGCGAUAAGUUGACCGCCUGGGGAGUACGGUCGCAAGAUUAAAACUCAAAGGAAUUGACGGGGGCCCGCACAAGCGGUGGAGCAUGUGG
RNAcentral lists this ribosomal RNA (944 nucleotides) under Zetaproteobacteria bacterium CG_4_9_14_0_2_um_filter_59_191. Its description in RNAcentral is "bacterial SSU rRNA". It matches the Rfam family "Bacterial small subunit ribosomal RNA", at positions 1 to 944 of the family's 1533-position model. Lineage: Bacteria; Pseudomonadati; Pseudomonadota; Candidatius Mariprofundia. The record is from RNAcentral.